AUUGAACGCUGGCGGCAGGCUUAACACAUGCAAGUCGAGCGGGGGAAGGUAGCUUGCUACCGGACCUAGCGGCGGACGGGUGAGUAAUGCUUAGGAAUCUGCCUAUUAGUGGGGGACAACAUCUCGAAAGGGAUGCUAAUACCGCAUACGUCCUACGGGAGAAAGCAGGGGAUCUUCGGACCUUGCGCUAAUAGAUGAGCCUAAGUCGGAUUAGCUAGUUGGUGGGGUAAAGGCCUACCAAGGCGACGAUCUGUAGCGGGUCUGAGAGGAUGAACCGCCACACUGGGACUGAGACACGGCCCAGACUCCUACGGGAGGCAGCAGUGGGGAAUAUUGGACAAUGGGGCGAACCCUGAUCCAGCCAUGCCGCGUGUGUGAAGAAGGCCUUAUGGUUGUAAAGCACUUUAAGCGAGGAGGAGGCUACUUUAGUUAAUACCUAGAGAUAGUGGACGUUACUCGCAGAAUAAGCACCGGCUAACUCUGUGCCAGCCGCCGCAGUAA
Molecule: ribosomal RNA, 501 nt
Filed under: uncultured bacterium
Lineage: Bacteria
Description: partial 16S ribosomal RNA
Rfam family: Bacterial small subunit ribosomal RNA
Source: RNAcentral